AGAGUUUGAUCAUGGCUCAGGACGAACGCUGGCGGCGUGCUUAACACAUGCAAGUCGAACGGAAAGGCCCCUUCGGGGGUACUCGAGUGGCGAACGGGUGAGUAACACGUGGGUGAUCUGCCCUGCACUUUGGGAUAAGCCUGGGAAACUGGGUCUGAUACCGAAUAGGACCGCAUGCUUCAUGGUGUGUGGUGGAAAGCUUUUGCGGUGUGGGAUGGGCCCGCGGCCUAUCAGCUUGUUGGUGGGGUAAUGGCCUACCAAGGCGACGACGGGUAGCCGGCCUGAGAGGGUGUCCGGCCACACUGGGACUGAGAUACGGCCCAGACUCCUACGGGAGGCAGCAGUGGGGAAUAUUGCACAAUGGGCGCAAGCCUGAUGCAGCGACGCCGCGUGGGGGAUGACGGCCUUCGGGUUGUAAACCUCUUUCAGUAUCGGCGAAGCUCCAGGAUUUUUCUUGGGGUGACGGUAGGUACAGAAGAAGCACCGGCCAACUACGUGCCAGCAGCCGCGGUAAUACGUAGGGUGCGAGCGUUGUCCGGAAUUACUGGGCGUAAAGAGCUCGUAGGUGGUUUGUCACGUUGUCUGUGAAAACUCACAGCUUAACUGUGGGCGUGCGGGCGAUACGGGCAGACUGGAGUACUGUAGGGGAGACUGGAAUUCCUGGUGUAGCGGUGGAAUGCGCAGAUAUCAGGAGGAACACCGGUGGCGAAGGCGGGUCUCCGGGCAGUAACUGACGCUGAGGAGCGAAAGCGUGGGGAGCGAACAGGAUUAGAUACCCUGGUAGUCCAA
This 789-nucleotide ribosomal RNA is filed under the name uncultured bacterium. RNAcentral describes it as "bacterial SSU rRNA". It matches the Rfam family "Bacterial small subunit ribosomal RNA", at positions 8 to 798 of the family's 1533-position model. The record is from RNAcentral.